This 460-nucleotide ribosomal RNA is filed under the name uncultured bacterium. Its description in RNAcentral is "partial 16S ribosomal RNA". It matches the Rfam family "Bacterial small subunit ribosomal RNA", at positions 338 to 795 of the family's 1533-position model. The record is from RNAcentral.
CCUACGGGAGGCAGCAGUGAGGAAUAUUGGUCAAUGGGCGUAAGCCUGAACCAGCGAAGUCGCGUGAGGGAUGAAGGUUCUAUGGAUCGUAAACCUCUUUUAUAAGGGAAUAAAGGGUGGGACGUGUCCUAUUUUGUAUGUACCUUAUGAAUAAGGCUCGGCUAACUCCGUGCCAGCAGCCGCGGUAAUACGGAGGAACCGAGCGUUAUCCGGAUUUAUUGGGUUUAAAGGGUGCGUAGGCGGCCUUUUAAGUAAGCGGUGAAAGUCUGUGGCUCAACCAUAGAAUUGCCGUUGAAACUGGGGGGCUUGAGUAUGUGUGAGGCAGGCGGAAUGCGUGGUGUAGCGGUGAAAUGCUUAGAUAUCACGCAGAACCCCGAUUGCGAAGGCAGCCUGCCAAGCCAUGACUGACGCUGAUGCACGAAAGCGUGGGGAUCAAACAGGAUUAGAUACCCUAGUAGUC